AAUCUUCUUCACCCAUAUAUAGAUGUAGAAAUGUUGACAAAUGCCACUCAGCCAGAUGAAAAUUUGUAAGGCAGUUGAUUGCAAUAUUCACUCAAACUUUUACUAGUGGAAUUUCAACUCAGCAGGAUAUAUGGAAAGGCUUUGCCUUAUAGUGGAACAAAUGGCAAUCUGUUUCAGAUGACUACGCAUAUAGAGAGGGAUAUGUUAUAGUGAACUCUAAACUAAAAUCGUGCAUAUGAUUCAAAAUAAAUGGAAUCCAUUCAUGUGCUAACACAUUUUUGAGCUGGGACUCAAUUAUAGACAACUUUGUUGCACCGGAACUUGGCAUCAGAUCAAGUCGAGACAAGCUACUUGAGACCAUGCGCAUGUUACAUGGUCUGUACAUUCCCCUGAGACUGAGUUCGAGACUUGGCUGCCCCUUCUUUCCAUCCUUUUUGACGCGCCCUCAUCUCCCAUGUAGCAGUCAUUUUCUUUUGUGCCAAUAAAAGAACCUCAGCUUUUUCCCUUGCCUCUUCACAUGUCUCCAUUCCAGAAUUGCAUUUGUCUGCUUCUUUCAUAUAUUGGGAUGUCAACUUUUUUGCUUCAAGAAGUGCCAUGUCAGCCUUCCGCUGAUUUUCUGAGGCUUCAGCUUCUCGCAGUUUAAGUUCCUCAGACAACAAAUCAGCAAAGUUUUUUUCCGUGUCUUCACCAACUUCUGGAUCACGCUUAGCACAAUCUGUCAAAGAAACAUUGCUCAAACCUGGGGGAAUAAAAAAGAAGGGUUCCGAAUUGCAGUCACAAUUACAAGGAGGGCAAGUAGUAACAGAAGAAGAACGGCUAACAGCAACUAAACCUUCCAUCAAGUGCCAAUACAAAGGAGGACCCAAAAUAUAGGCUGCCAAACUAAUUGCCAUUAGACCCAAUACAGAUUUCAACACCCUAGGACUACAUGGUGAUGAUCUUCCUGCUUGAUUCAACGCCAUUGGUCGUUCUGUUUGCUUUUUCUACUGGCCAGUAAACGGAGAAGUUGGAAAAAACAAUUUUGAGUUAAAUUGUUAGUUUUGUGCUUACUUAUGGAGACCAAUAGCAGAUGAAUGAGAGUGUGGAAGAAAGAUCAGCUGUUUUUUUUUCCUCCGCUUUUCAACUGCUGUGACGCGUUUGGGAAUUUAG
RNAcentral lists this unclassified non-coding RNA (1149 nucleotides) under Hevea brasiliensis (rubber tree). The record is from RNAcentral. Lineage: Eukaryota; Viridiplantae; Streptophyta; Magnoliopsida; Malpighiales; Euphorbiaceae.